GUACGAUCACCGAAGUUAAACAACGUCGAGCCUGAUCAGUAUUUAGAUGGGUGCCCGCAAGGGAAUACCAGGUGCUGUAAG
Non-coding RNA from Acanthosepion pharaonis, 81 nucleotides. NCBI's taxonomy places the organism in Eukaryota, Metazoa, Mollusca, Cephalopoda, Sepiida, Sepiidae. The record is from the annotation of a GenBank genome assembly.